UCCGGACAGAGGGAAGCACCCUGCAGAAACCCGAGGGCGAGGCAGCGCUGCAGCGGGCGCGGCAGGAAGCUCUCGGUGGGGCCCAGAGCCAGGCUGCUGCUGCGAGCUGAGGACCCUAAGCAGAGAGCUCAGGGCAAGCGCUGCUGAUUUCCCACAGCAGAGAGCCACAGUGAACCGUGGGCUCUUCUCUAACAGUCUGUUUCAGGCGUUUACAGCAGAGUCCAUGAGUUCCCUUUGCGCUGAUGUCAAUUGGAGGCGGGACCGGUAUACAGGAUCAGUCUGGCAACUUGGACUUGGUAUGAGAACCUGGAAAUCUUCACUCCAGGUUGCAACACAUAUGUAGCCCUUCCUCUGAGUGAGUGAAGAUGUAACCUUUUGAACUAAUUAGAUCAACUGGAUUUUUUUCUCCGGUUCUGAAGAUUAAAUCCAGAGCCUUGUAUCUGUUAGGUAAGUAACCUAUCACUGAGCUGCAGUCCCAGCCUUGGGAUUUUAAAAAUAGCUCCCUAUAAAACAAAAUCUUAGACAUAUUUUCUUUCUUUGUAUUAUUGAAGAAUGGAAUAGGU
This 563-nucleotide long non-coding RNA is filed under the name Cavia porcellus (domestic guinea pig). RNAcentral describes it as "lncRNA (ENSCPOG00000039782.1)". Lineage: Eukaryota; Metazoa; Chordata; Mammalia; Rodentia; Caviidae. The record is from RNAcentral.